RNAcentral lists this long non-coding RNA (518 nucleotides) under Homo sapiens (human). Its description in RNAcentral is "long non-coding RNA NONHSAT212966". Lineage: Eukaryota; Metazoa; Chordata; Mammalia; Primates; Hominidae. The record is from RNAcentral.
CAGUGUCCAAAUACAAAAGUAUUGACUACUGUCCCUGAUGUGACGAGCAGGAUCUAUUGAAGCCGAACACAUCAUCUUUCAGUUCCAGGUAGGAGUGCAGUAAGAAGAGUUUUCUUACAGGCAUGAUCGCUGUGAUGGAUAAGUGUGUCUUGGACUCUAAUGAAUGAACCAGCGACUUAGUCACCAGCCGCCUACACUAAUAAGGUGAGGGUGUGAUGCUGGUUUGGGCAGGGAAGGUCUUUGGUCUCUUUAUAGAUUUUAGAAUGCUAAAAUAAAAUGACCUGUGGGAUCCUGAAACCAAAAGAGGACAUCAGUGGGAAAACACAUGGAAUCGGGGGUCUGUUCCUAGAGAUGCUUCACGGAACUCUAGACCAUGUUAAUGUUUGUUUUGAACCACAUGUCUUGGGUAACACUGGGGGAUGUUGGAUUGGGGGGAUACGGGAUCUCUCUGUACUGUCUUUGCAACUUUUUCCGUAAAUCUAAGAUGAUCCACAAAUAAAAGCUUUAUUGAAAAAUAU